UACGGGAUAAUAUAUUUGAGAGGCAUCUCUUGAAUAUCAAAGGUGAGCCAGUACAGGAUGGACCCGCGUCUGAUUAGCUAGUUGGUAAGGUAACGGCUUACCAAGGCGACGAUCAGUAGCCGACCUGAGAGGGUGAUCGGCCACAUUGGAACUGAGACACGGUCCAAACUCCUACGGGAGGCAGCAGUGGGGAAUAUUGCACAAUGGGCGAAAGCCUGAUGCAGCAACGCCGCGUGAGUGAUGAAGGCCUUCGGGUCGUAAAACUCUGUCCUCAAGGAAGAUAAUGACGGUACUUGAGGAGGAAGCCCCGGCUAACUACGUGCCAGCAGCCGCGGUAAUACGUAGGGGGCUAGCGUUAUCCGGAUUUACUGGGCGUAAAGGGUGCGUAGGCGGUCUUUCAAGUCAGGAGUGAAAGGCUACGGCUCAACCGUAGUAAGCUCUUGAAACUGGGAGACUUGAGUGCAGGAGAGGAGAGUGGAAUUCCUAGUGUAGCGGUGAAAUGCGUAGAUAUUAGGAGGAACACCAGUU
RNAcentral lists this ribosomal RNA (528 nucleotides) under Clostridioides difficile. Its description in RNAcentral is "bacterial SSU rRNA". It matches the Rfam family "Bacterial small subunit ribosomal RNA", at positions 167 to 714 of the family's 1533-position model. The record is from RNAcentral. Lineage: Bacteria; Bacillati; Bacillota; Clostridia; Peptostreptococcales; Peptostreptococcaceae.